Molecule: long non-coding RNA, 4355 nt
Organism: Mustela lutreola (European mink)
Lineage: Eukaryota; Metazoa; Chordata; Mammalia; Carnivora; Mustelidae
Exons: 4
Source: RefSeq, a predicted model, not a curated record
UGCAACAGAGAGAACAUGGGGUUUGAAGUAAGACAGAUUCCAGGCAGAUUGAAAUGCUCAACGGUAAAGCCAGAAAAAGAAAAAUCCAUGGAGAAAAACAAAUACUGCAUGACCUCCCAUACCAUUUGAAAACUUCGAUAUCUCCAGAAAGAGAAUUCAGGAAAUACCAAAUGUGUGAGUCUUCGAGAAUCACAACCAGAUACUCGGUGAGAAUCCACCAUGUCUGAGGCAGGAGCCCGGUGUUUGGAGAUGGAGCGCUGGGACAUGGUCUUGCCUCCCGGAGUUCACAGAAAGGUUCUUACAGCUUCCCGGGGACAGAGUCUCUGUAUUAGGCACCUCAGGCUGCCGUAGCAAAAUAUCACAGACUCAGGGGCUCAAACCACAGAUCUUUAUUUCUCAUAAUUCUGGAUGCCAGAAGUCCAAGGUCAGGGUACCAGCAUGCUUGGUUUCUCCUGAGGCCCCUUCUCCCUGGCUUGCAGAUGGCCACCUUCUCUUCACGUCCCCUGAUGGCUCUCAUGUCCCCAUUUCUUUGUGCGCAUCGCUGGUGACUCUCCCUCUGCUUUUAAGAUACUUGAGAGACUCUUAAUCUUAGGAAACAACCUGAGGGUUGCUGGAGGGGAGGGUAGACGGAUGGGGUAACUGGGUGAUGGACACUAAGGAGGGCACGUGACGUUAAGAGCGCUGGGUGUUGUGGAAGACUGAUGAGUCACUCACCUCUGCCUCCGAAACCAAUAAUAUAUUAUCUGUUACUUAAUUGAAUUUAUUUUUCAAAAGAUUUUAUUUAUUAAUUUGACAGACAGAGAUCAAUCACAAGUAGGCAAAGAGGCAGACAAAGAGAGAGAGAGGAGAAAGCAGGCUCCCCAUGGAGCAGAGAGCCCGAUGCGGGGCUCGAUCCCAGGACCCUGGGAUCAUGACUGACUUGAAGGGCAGAGGCUUUAACCCACUGAGUCACCCAGGCGACUCAUGUUCUUAGUAGAAAUUUUAAAAAUUUAAUUGAAUUUAAAUUUAAAAAAAAAAAAAAAGAAUACCAGUCAUUGGACUGAGGCACACCGUAUGAUCUCAUUUAACAUUAAUUACCUCUGUAAUUAAGAGAGUUUAAUAAUUUAGAGAGUUUAUCUCUAAAUACAGUCCUCCCAGCACCCGGGAGGCUCAGUCGGUUAAGCAUCAGCCUUCAGCUCAGAUCAUGAUCCCAGAGUCCUGGGAUCCAGCCUGCGUCUCCUUCUGCCCCUCCCCCAGCUUGUGUGAGUACGCACUCUCUCUCCAUCUCUCUCAAAAAAUAAAUAAAUACAAUUUUUUAAAAGUUAUUAAAAAAUAUAGUCCAUUUUCUGAGAUAUAUUAGGGGUUAGGACUUCAAUACAUGCAUUUAGGGGGAGGUCAGAGUUGAGUUCCUAACAGCCUCUAUGACCAGGAAAGAAAAGAUGCCUCGGAAGUAGAGCAGGGGCCUGUGGCCCAGACCUGGACUCCCCGAGGCCUCUCCAGGAGAGCUAAGUUGCUCACCGAAGGAUGCGGCUGGCGGCAGGGGCUGCUCUUCUGAAGAAACACUCUGCGAAGCACAGACCUUGUGUAUUUCACUUUUUUGUGGCCUCUUGACUUUCCUUCUUUUUUUUUUCUUUUUUUUUUUUACUCUGGCCUUUGGUAGGAAUAACAAAGAGGAACCCAAAAACAUCAUUCCAGAAGCCAAUGUGCCUUGGGCAAGCCACCUUUCCUUUCUACCUCAGCUUCCUUCUUGGUAUAAUCAAGUAGUUAGCAUUUAUUAUUUCUCAGACCUUAAUGUGCCAUGAUUCUCGGGAAAUCCUUAGGUACAGUCACGGUUACUUCUCUAAAAUACUGACAAUUCAUGGGACACCUGGGUGGCUCAGUGGGUUAAGUUGCCUGCCUCCUGCUCGGGUCAUGAUUCCAGGGGCCUGGAAUAAGUCCCACAUCCGGCUCCUUUGCUCAGUGGGGAACCUGCUUCUCCCUCUGCUGUCGCUCCCUCUGCUUGUGCUCUCUCUGAUUAAAUACAUACGUACAUAAGAUACUGACAGUUCAGAAGCUUGGGGAAGGGGAGACCCAAAUUCUGCAGCCAAAUGCCGUUUUUACUUUUGGAGCCGUAUUAAGAUCUUUCCCUGUUUUCUACUAAGAACAUGGAGAUAAAGGGGAGCCUGGUGACAGGAGAAAAUCCAGACUCUUCCACCAGCUCUGCGUGACUUAGCUACUCUCGGGAGACUUUCCCUCUGCAGGUCCUGGUGACGACUCAGGCCUUCAUCUGUGGGAAGGGAGUACAAAGCUGCAAAAGCAGUGGAUGCCCAUUGUGAGAAAAAAAUGAAACCCAACAGGACACAAAGGAUUACACAUGACACACAGAAGUGCGAGGGCACCUGGCUCCAGGAAUUCCCAACAGACCAGGCUCAGCCCGUCGCCACUGAUAAAAUCCAAAGGCAGAGAAACAAGUGGUGGAACAAGAAAGGAAUUUAAAAAAACCAUUUUUAAAAAAUCAUCUAUAUACCCGGACCUGGGGCUCAAACUCAUAACCCAAGAUCCAGUGUUGCAUUCUCUUCCAACUGAGCCAGAAAGGCACCCUGCACAAAAAAGGAAUUUCAAAGAGGCCAAUAGCAGAAAACAAGGGUGUGUUUCCUCUCGGAAACUAUGGCCAGAAAAGUGGAACGACUUCCAGGUUUAUAUAAGGAAAAAUGUGGUGCAAAGGUGGGCGGGUACCUACAGGUAGGCUGAGAAGGUCAAAAGGAUCAUUGUCCUGGAGUCAGUCCUGGGUGGGGUCUUAUGGGCUCAGCCCGGUCCUUAUGGCUUCGGGGGUAGUUUUGGUUCGCUUCUAGGGAUGGUCUUGCCCUCCAGGUCUUCUGACUGAGCCUAGAGACAAACUGGAAAGAACCCAACUAGAAAGUUGAGGUCAAAACCCAGGCAGCCCAAGUCUUCUUUCAAAUAGAUCUGUGACUGUCUUUUACUCAGUAAGGUGGUCUAGACUUUCUUCUGUCUGUGUAGAAAAAGUACUUCUCUUUCUAAAGCCUGUGUAGUAUGCCUGGCAUGUGUCAUUUAUUGAGCAGGUUUUCAAAUCACCUCCCAUUUUUUUUUUGCUAACAUGAACGAUCCUGCAGUAAACAGACUUGCAGUAAACAGACUUGCAGAUGUAGCUUUGGUUGAGUAUCUCCCCGGGAAGGAGUCUUAGAAAUAGAAUCACUGGUCCUCGAGUUCAUUUCUAUGAGGUGUUUCAUUGUAUAGAAAGAUUUUUAGGCAGGUCAACUAAGACCAAAAAAGAUGUAUCUGUGUAUGUAUAUAAUUUCAUUUAAAGGCUCUUUUGAUCCACAGCCUGAAAUCAUUUCUUAAAAACCGGCCGGUUACUAGGAGAGUAUGUCUUCUUUUUCUUCUUUUUUUAAUGGGCACCGAUUGGCUGGGAAAGCGGCCUCCCUUUACUCCCUGCUCCCUGCCAGUCACAGCUGUGUGAUCAGUGUGGGGACUCCUGACUGCAGGCCCUUGGGCGCCCCUCUGGGCUCGGGGGCGCUGGGCCUGCGAUGCCUCCAGCCAGCACUCUGGGCUUGGGAUGAGCUAUAGUUCAGUUUGGCAUUUGUUUUCUCAAGGGCUUGAAAUUGAGAGAGGGAUUGCAGUGAUUUUCACUCUUCCUAACAUUUCUUUUUGCAAAAUCCUAUUGUGCAAGCCAGAUAUUCAGCUAAAAUCAGAUCUUAAUGGCUGUGUUGGGUACUUAAAAUCGCAAGCUCCUAUAAAUUAUUAAAUAGUCCUUCCACGCAGAAGAACUGCCCAGCACAAAUUCUCUGCAGCAUUUUCAUUCAGAACUUAAUCUUUUCCCCCAUGUUGGGUCGUUUACCUCCUCUGGAUUCCACUAAAGGUAGGUCUCCCCGCCCCCACGCCCCAGCACACAAGGGGUUAAACUGAACUCCCGGAGCCUAAUUUCCCAAACAAAAGCCAGUUUUGCAAGUUAGUUUUCAAGGUGUGUCUUUCCAUAAGUUCUAUUUAAUGAAGUUAAUACGUGUUCCCACUUCCUUUCUUUUUUUCCUUCUUACUUUUCUGUUGUCAGUAUUCAUGGAAUCUGGAUCUGUCAGCUACUUCUGUUUGAAGUGGAAGAAUUGGCAAAAUUAUACAUCCAGCAGGCAAGAAAUAAAGUGGAAAUGUCUCACAAGUAACAGUGAAAUCUGUUGCGUUGUUUUAAGACUUAACCACUGAGGGGGGAAAAAAAGCCCUACUAAAUAUUGUCUUGGCAACUAUAAAUAUAUUUUAGCGAUGAUAAAAACCUUUAGAAUAGCAGUUACAAGAUAACUGAAACCUAAUGCCUGUCUGUCUGCCACUCUGAAUUAUAUAUAUUUACAUUAUGUAUAUAUCCCAUUCUUUAUUAAAGGCUGUGCAAUUCU